This is a long non-coding RNA of Sinocyclocheilus rhinocerous, 302 nucleotides long. RefSeq lists it as uncharacterized. Lineage: Eukaryota; Metazoa; Chordata; Actinopteri; Cypriniformes; Cyprinidae. The record is from RefSeq and is a predicted model, not a curated record. The transcript is spliced from 3 exons.
UUUACUUUCUCCUUAACACAAACACACGCGUGCACCAUCUGCCUUGAUUUCUUUCUGCUCUCUGACACACAAAAGACAUUACUGAAUCCUGACUCUGUCUUACCUGACUCAAACGUUAGAGUUAAAGGGGAAACCGGUACUGUUGAGUUUCCUGAAACAGUCACAGAUCAUGCCUGUCCCUGGAAUCUGUAUUAAAACGUGAAUCCAGUGUCUCCAAUGCAUUAAUGUGGAAGUAUACUCUGCCUGUAAGUCCAUUCAUCUACUUCCAAGCAAACAAGUGGAGAAAAAAAAAGAGAAAUAGC